Molecule: ribosomal RNA, 528 nt
Filed under: uncultured bacterium
Lineage: Bacteria
Description: bacterial SSU rRNA
Rfam family: Bacterial small subunit ribosomal RNA
Source: RNAcentral
AAUAGAUACCCUGGUAGUCCACGCCGUAAACGAUGUCUACUAGCCGUUGGGAGACUUGAUUUCUUAGUGGCGCAGCUAACGCAAUAAGUAGACCGCCUGGGGAGUACGGCCGCAAGGUUAAAACUCAAAUGAAUUGACGGGGGCCCGCACAAGCGGUGGAGCAUGUGGUUUAAUUCGAUGCAACGCGAAGAACCUUACCAGGUCUUGACAUCCUAGGAACUUUCCAGAGAUGGAUUGGUGCCUUCGGGAGCCUAGAGACGGGUGCUGCAUGGCUGUCGUCAGCUCGUGUUGUGAGAUGUUGGGUUAAGUCCCGUAACGAGCGCAACCCUUGUCCUUAGUUGCCAGCACGUAAAGGUGGGAACUCUAAGGAGACUGCCGGUGACAAACCGGAGGAAGGUGGGGACGACGUCAAGUCAUCAUGGCCCUUACGACCUGGGCUACACACGUGCUACAAUGGAACGCACAGAGGGCAGCAAAGGCGCGAGCUGGAGCGAAUCCCACAAAACGUUUCGUAGUCCGGAUCGGAGU